ACGAAUGAAAGGCAGAGGAAGUGGCUUACCUUGGUUGGCCGAAGGCAACGAAGACGAUGACAAAGCUCCUUCUGUGUGAUUGAACCACGCUUGGCAGGGCACCCUUUUCACCUUCCCUUGCGUUCUUCUCUCUGGGAUUUGUGUUUCCUUUGCUUCUGGUUAUCUAGCCUAUUAUCCCGGUUUUUUUUUAGAUGAAGGAACGCAUACGAUGGCGAUGCUGGGGGGCUCUUUUUUUUAUUUGCAGGAGGCGAUCAAGAAGACGGUGAUGUUAAUGGCUGGGAGAUCGAUCGGCGUUGUAACAGCCGGCAGUAAUGGCGUGGGGCGUUCCAUUCAAUGGAGAAACGUCCCUGCGUUUAAUGGCGGAACCGCUACAGGGGAAGAAGACGAGCGAACAGUCGCCUCCCAAAACGACUCCGUUUUUACAAUUCCAAAGGCUGCUUUCAAUUUGGUCCUCGGAAUUUUGUAAUUUUGCAAUCAAGCUGCUGGUUAAAAUGUAAUUGGAUCCUUGCAUUUGCGCGACAUUUUCAAUGUAAUUCUUGGAUUCUAAUUUUCCAA
Populus nigra (black poplar) is the source of this 555-nucleotide long non-coding RNA. RefSeq lists it as uncharacterized. NCBI's taxonomy places the organism in Eukaryota, Viridiplantae, Streptophyta, Magnoliopsida, Malpighiales, Salicaceae. The record is from RefSeq and is a predicted model, not a curated record. The transcript is spliced from 2 exons.